GGCAAUGUUUCAUUUAUAUCUGUUUAUCACUAUAUCUUUUGAUUUUCCAUGCAUAAAAAUCAGUGGAAAUACAAUAAUAAUAAAUUGAAAGCAGUGUUAUUUAUUUUAACAGAAUUUGGUACAUCUUUUGUUACUACCUAUUACAAAAAAUGCAUCUAAACUGCAAAAAUCUUAUCACAUAUAACACAAUGAAUAAAAAAAUGUCUUUAUUUUUAGCAUAUGAAUUUUUUGAAAAUGAUUUUAAAUCUUUAUUUUUUAAUCACUCUUGUAACAUCCCAUCUUCUUGUGUUGCACCAUACUAUUUAGGAACCACUGACAAGGAGAGUACACAGCUGACUACCCCCCAAUUUUGAUGAAACUGAACUGAUGUAAUCUAAUAAGGAAAAAAUAUCGAAUAUGUGUCCAAG
RNAcentral lists this long non-coding RNA (407 nucleotides) under Androctonus crassicauda. Lineage: Eukaryota; Metazoa; Arthropoda; Arachnida; Scorpiones; Buthidae. The record is from RNAcentral.